UUUUACAUUCAUAUCCAAAUUUUUAUGUACCAAUAUUUUAUCAAAUAUCAAAUAAUAUCUAAGAUUUAGUAAACAUAAAAUAUAAUUUUAAUACAAAACUCAUAAUAAAUAAAAUAAACAAAAAAAUAUAAUAAAUCAUCUUAUCCCCCACAAAAUAUAUUAACGUCUUCUUUUAUCUCCUUAGAAAAAAAAAUCGAUCCUAAAUUUAUAUUUUAAAUUCAAACAUAUAAUUAUAAUUCAAUCUAAGUUAAAAUUAAAUAUAUAUCUAAAUUUAUAUAGUUAUUAUUUUGAAUUUAAUAACUAUUAUUAAAUUGAAUUCUACAGCUCUCACAUAUGAGAAAGCUCUGUACCUUCUAAGUAACACCUACCUCUUUUCUAUUUUUCUAAAACAUAUAAAUUAAUAAUUAAUAAUAAUAAUAUAUAAUAAUUUUCGAAUAUCCGAAACCGAAUUCGAAAUAUUCUAAUAUAUUCGUAUCCGUAUCCAAGUUCGAAAAUAUUGUAAAUAAAAAUAUAAUAUCCGAAUCCGAAUCCGAAUUGGACCGGAUGUAUAAUUUUGACAUCCAUAUAUAUUUGCAUCCAAUCGAUGAAUUCGAUCUGAAUUUAUUCUAACCACUUUCAACCCUACCUAUACUUCAUAAUCAUAUAUACUAAAAUCAAAAGAUCUCCAUAUUAAAAUAUAAGAAAAAAAAUGUACAUAAAACUAUGAACCAUUUUGAGUCAAACCUUUGAAAAUUUCGAUUUUACUAUUAGGUCUUUCAAUCUAUUUGAUUUGAAUUAGUCAAUAAUAUUUUGAUUUUAAAAUUUGAAUGUGUCGUUUAUCUCUUUAUAUUUAAUUAGUAUAUUUUAUACAACUCUCGUAAUUAUAAAUUUAGUAAAGUAAGUAAUUAGCUUAAAUUU
This 897-nucleotide long non-coding RNA is filed under the name Ananas comosus (pineapple). RNAcentral's name for it is "long non-coding RNA (ACOM_LNC019563)". The record is from RNAcentral. Lineage: Eukaryota; Viridiplantae; Streptophyta; Magnoliopsida; Poales; Bromeliaceae.